AGUAACACGUGGAUAACCUACCUAUAAGACUGGGAUAACUUCGGGAAACCGGAGCUAAUACCGGAUAAUAUUUUGAACCGCAUGGUUCAAAAGUGAAAGACGGUCUUGCUGUCACUUAUAGAUGGAUCCGCGCUGCAUUAGCUAGUUGGUAAGGUAACGGCCUACCAAGGCAACGAUGCAUAGCCGACCUGAGAGGGUGAUCGGCCACACUGGAACUGAGACACGGUCCAG
Molecule: ribosomal RNA, 231 nt
Filed under: uncultured Staphylococcus sp.
Lineage: Bacteria; Bacillati; Bacillota; Bacilli; Caryophanales; Staphylococcaceae
Description: partial 16S ribosomal RNA
Rfam family: Bacterial small subunit ribosomal RNA
Source: RNAcentral